This 911-nucleotide long non-coding RNA is filed under the name Eurytemora carolleeae. RNAcentral's name for it is "uncharacterized LOC111698936". Lineage: Eukaryota; Metazoa; Arthropoda; Copepoda; Calanoida; Temoridae. The record is from RNAcentral.
UUAGACUAAAUUUUAAAUAUGUGCUGUAUUUAAUAAUAAAAGUAACUAGUCAACCAUCAUUCCGUGGAAAUGAAUGCCGAGUCCCAAUCAAAAUUAAUCAUAAGGACGGAAAAUUAUUGUACCAGUUGUUAUGCAUGUGCUGCAUGUCUGUAAAAUCUAAUAAAACUUGUUCUGAUUGCAGGAACACCGGACAAAAGAAGAUCUUCCUGAAUGAUAUUUUAUCAAGAAAAGAAUUGUUAUCAAGAAAAGUUGAAUAUUAGAAUGUAAACCUCACUUGAAACCAUGGGCACCAACCUGCUUAUCCAAGAAUACCUGCCCUGAGUCAAGAUAAACCAGCGCAUUAAAAGGCAGAGUUACGACUCUCAUAUCUGGAAACAGCUGAACCCAAUCCAGAUACAGUCACAAUCACGCUAACCUGUGACUGAGGGUUCGACCACAGUGGAGGAGGUCUUUGGAUUUGUAUCUGUGGAUCUGUACCUGUGGAUCUGUACCUGUGGACCUGUAACUUUUGGCAUCACCCGGAAACAAAUCCAGCCAAAAGUCUUAAACAGAAUGGUCCGGGAAAAGGGGACUACGUCAAACAGUCUCUGAUUGCCGGGCCCAGACAGUUGGCAGGAUGAUUGCUGCCAACUCUGUGUUUGAUUCUUUCUGGAUAAAUGGGGAAAGAUUUCAAUCACAGCUAUAGCUAGAACUCUACUCAACAGAGCUACGCCUACUCUUGAAUCUCUUGAAGACCAUUGUUCAGUGUCCAAGCUAUAUAAAGUUCAACUAAACUUCAAGAGAAGCUAAAACUAAUGAAGAGCCUAAACUGCAGGAUAUAAAAGAGCACUAAACUAAACCUGGAAAAGCCCACAAUUUUCCACCACUUUGGAUUCUGUAAGAAGAAUUUGCUCAAUAAAUGCUAAAUACAG